This 720-nucleotide long non-coding RNA is filed under the name Hordeum vulgare. RNAcentral describes it as "long non-coding RNA (HVUL_LNC002530)". Lineage: Eukaryota; Viridiplantae; Streptophyta; Magnoliopsida; Poales; Poaceae. The record is from RNAcentral.
UGAAAAGGUGGUGUUGACAACACAUGAUUGACAUUGAUGGUGGUGCUACUCAAGCACCCAAUCUUGAACUCUAGGGUGUAAGCCUAAGUUAGACCCAAGUGGUUAUACCUGACAAUGACGAUAUUUUUGUUGCAUCAUUACCUUGUUGAAGGUACUGUUCGUAUAUGUUCGGACAGGUUCUUCAGGAUAAAAACUAAAUUCUAGCUUUGUUGGUUGGAUACAGUGAUGGCGACAUUUGAGUGUCGCGCCCCUUCUGAAGGCGUUGUUGUUGGAAAACAUCAUUAUCCAUGUAGUCUCAUUAGAUGGUUGGCGCGGAUAUGAUCAUUAUUGAAGUUUGUCGAUUGCAGAUCUGAUUGCUUUGAGGCUUCUUCCGUCUCCUACGUAUAACUUUGGUCUUAUAUGAUUUUGCUAAUUUUCGUCGUGUUUUCGUGUGUGCGUAUGUUAGUGUUCGUUGUGUGCAUCUUAGCUAUGCGAAAAAAAAUAUGUGUGCUUAUUGCGUUACCUAUCUUCUUGAUGCUCAAUUUUGCGCAUACAAAAUCCACCCUGUAUCGAAUAAGAAGAUUUCACUUCACAUGAUAUAACUCUGAAAUGGCAUAUUCAAUAAGUCACUUUCUGAAGAGUGCUUUGAAUGAUUUCCCAAAACUGGAACUGCUAUGCCUAGAUUAUGAACAUUUUCUACUUGAGGUUUCAGGUGCCCGAUUCUUCGAUAUUGAUACACAG